AGAGUUUGAUCCUGGCUCAGGAUGAACGCUAGCUACAGGCUUAACACAUGCAAGUCGAGGGGCAGCAUGAACUUAGCUUGCUAAGUUUGAUGGCGACCGGCGCACGGGUGAGUAACACGUAUCCAACCUUCCGUUUACUCAGGGAUAGCCUUUCGAAAGAAAGAUUAAUACCUGAUAGUAUGGUGAGAUUGCAUGAUAGCACCAUUAAAGAUUUAUUGGUAAACGAUGGGGAUGCGUUCCAUUAGGUAGUAGGCGGGGUAACGGCCCACCUAGCCUGCGAUGGAUAGGGGUUCUGAGAGGAAGGUCCCCCACAUUGGAACUGAGACACGGUCCAAACUCCUACGGGAGGCAGCAGUGAGGAAUAUUGGUCAAUGGGCGAGAGCCUGAACCAGCCAAGUAGCGUGAAGGAUGAAGGUCCUACGGAUUGUAAACUUCUUUUAUACGGGAAUAAAGUAUCCUACGUGUAGGAUUUUGUAUGUACCGUAUGAAUAAGCAUCGGCUAACUCCGUGCCAGCAGCCGCGGUAAUACGGAGGAUGCGAGCGUUAUCCGGAUUUAUUGGGUUUAAAGGGAGCGCAGACGGGAGAUUAAGUCAGUUGUGAAAGUUUGCGGCUCAACCGUAAAAUUGCAGUUGAUACUGGUUUCCUUGAGUGCAGUUGAGGCAGGCGGAAUUCGUGGUGUAGCGGUGAAAUGCUUAGAUAUCACGAAGAACCCCGAUUGCGAAGGCAGCUUGCUAAACUGUAACUGACGUUCAUGCUCGAAAGUGUGGGUAUCAAACAGGAUUAGAUACCCUGGUAGUCCACACGGUAAACGAUGGAUACUCGCUGUUGGCGAUAUACUGUCAGCGGCUUAGCGAAAGCGUUAAGUAUCCCACCUGGGGAGUACGCCGGCAACGGUGAAACUCAAAGGAAUUGACGGAAGGGCGAA
This 925-nucleotide ribosomal RNA is filed under the name uncultured bacterium. RNAcentral describes it as "bacterial SSU rRNA". It matches the Rfam family "Bacterial small subunit ribosomal RNA", at positions 8 to 925 of the family's 1533-position model. The record is from RNAcentral.